This 2904-nucleotide ribosomal RNA is filed under the name Enterobacter cloacae. RNAcentral's name for it is "bacterial LSU rRNA". It matches the Rfam family "Bacterial large subunit ribosomal RNA". Lineage: Bacteria; Pseudomonadati; Pseudomonadota; Gammaproteobacteria; Enterobacterales; Enterobacteriaceae. The record is from RNAcentral. RNAcentral also lists the same sequence under 1 other name.
UUAAGCGACUAAGCGUACACGGUGGAUGCCCUGGCAGUCAGAGGCGAUGAAGGACGUGCUAAUCUGCGAAAAGCGCCGGCGAGGUGAUAUGAACCCUUGACCCGGCGAUGUCCGAAUGGGGAAACCCAGUGCAAUCCGUUGCACUAUCGUUAACUGAAUACAUAGGUUAACGAGGCGAACCGGGGGAACUGAAACAUCUAAGUACCCCGAGGAAAAGAAAUCAACCGAGAUUCCCCCAGUAGCGGCGAGCGAACGGGGAGCAGCCCGGAGUCUGAAUCAGCUUGUGUGUUAGUGGAACGGUCUGGAAAGUCCGACGGUACAGGGUGAUAGUCCCGUACACGAAAGCACACAUGCUGUGAACUCGAAGAGUAGGGCGGGACACGUGGUAUCCUGUCUGAAUAUGGGGGGACCAUCCUCCAAGGCUAAAUACUCCUGACUGACCGAUAGUGAACCAGUACCGUGAGGGAAAGGCGAAAAGAACCCCGGCGAGGGGAGUGAAAAAGAACCUGAAACCGUGUACGUACAAGCAGUGGGAGCCUCUUUAUGGGGUGACUGCGUACCUUUUGUAUAAUGGGUCAGCGACUUAUAUUCUGUAGCAAGGUUAACCGUAUAGGGGAGCCGAAGGGAAACCGAGUCUUAACUGGGCGUUAAGUUGCAGGGUAUAGACCCGAAACCCGGUGAUCUAGCCAUGGGCAGGUUGAAGGUUGGGUAACACUAACUGGAGGACCGAACCGACUAAUGUUGAAAAAUUAGCGGAUGACCUGUGGCUGGGGGUGAAAGGCCAAUCAAACCGGGAGAUAGCUGGUUCUCCCCGAAAGCUAUUUAGGUAGCGCCUCGUGAAUUCAUCUUCGGGGGUAGAGCACUGUUUCGGCUAGGGGGCCAUCCCGGCUUACCAACCCGAUGCAAACUACGAAUACCGAAGAAUGUUAUCACGGGAGACACACGGCGGGUGCUAACGUCCGUCGUGAAGAGGGAAACAACCCAGACCGCCAGCUAAGGUCCCAAAGUCAUGGUUAAGUGGGAAACGAUGUGGGAAGGCACAGACAGCCAGGAUGUUGGCUUAGAAGCAGCCAUCAUUUAAAGAAAGCGUAAUAGCUCACUGGUCGAGUCGGCCUGCGCGGAAGAUGUAACGGGGCUAAACCAUGCACCGAAGCUGCGGCAGCGACGCUUAUGCGUUGUUGGGUAGGGGAGCGUUCUGUAAGCCGUUGAAGGUGUGCUGUGAGGCAUGCUGGAGGUAUCAGAAGUGCGAAUGCUGACAUAAGUAACGAUAAAGCGGGUGAAAAGCCCGCUCGCCGGAAGACCAAGGGUUCCUGUCCAACGUUAAUCGGGGCAGGGUGAGUCGACCCCUAAGGCGAGGCCGAAAGGCGUAGUCGAUGGGAAACAGGUUAAUAUUCCUGUACUUGGUGUUACUGCGAAGGGGGGACGGAGAAGGCUAUGUCAGCCGGGCGACGGUUGUCCCGGUUUAAGCAUGUAGGCGGAGGUUCCAGGUAAAUCCGGUACCUUGUUAACGCUGAGGUGUGAUGACGAGGCACUACGGUGCUGAAGUGAUAAAUGCCCUGCUUCCAGGAAAAGCCUCUAAGCAUCAGGUAACACGAAAUCGUACCCCAAACCGACACAGGUGGUCAGGUAGAGAAUACCAAGGCGCUUGAGAGAACUCGGGUGAAGGAACUAGGCAAAAUGGUGCCGUAACUUCGGGAGAAGGCACGCUGAUGUGUAGGUGAAGCCCCUGCGGGUGGAGCUGAAAUCAGUCGAAGAUACCAGCUGGCUGCAACUGUUUAUUAAAAACACAGCACUGUGCAAACACGAAAGUGGACGUAUACGGUGUGACGCCUGCCCGGUGCCGGAAGGUUAAUUGAUGGGGUUAGCGGCAACGCGAAGCUCUUGAUCGAAGCCCCGGUAAACGGCGGCCGUAACUAUAACGGUCCUAAGGUAGCGAAAUUCCUUGUCGGGUAAGUUCCGACCUGCACGAAUGGCGUAAUGAUGGCCAGGCUGUCUCCACCCGAGACUCAGUGAAAUUGAACUCGCUGUGAAGAUGCAGUGUACCCGCGGCAAGACGGAAAGACCCCGUGAACCUUUACUAUAGCUUGACACUGAACACUGGUCCUUGAUGUGUAGGAUAGGUGGGAGGCUUUGAAGCGUGGACGCCAGUCUGCGUGGAGCCGCCCUUGAAAUACCACCCUUUAAUGGCUGGUGUUCUAACGUGGACCCGUAAUCCGGGUUGCGGACAGUGUCUGGUGGGUAGUUUGACUGGGGCGGUCUCCUCCCAAAGAGUAACGGAGGAGCACGAAGGUUGGCUAAUCCUGGUCGGACAUCAGGAGGUUAGUGCAAUGGCAUAAGCCAGCUUGACUGCGAGCGUGACGGCGCGAGCAGGUGCGAAAGCAGGUCAUAGUGAUCCGGUGGUUCUGAAUGGAAGGGCCAUCGCUCAACGGAUAAAAGGUACUCCGGGGAUAACAGGCUGAUACCGCCCAAGAGUUCAUAUCGACGGCGGUGUUUGGCACCUCGAUGUCGGCUCAUCACAUCCUGGGGCUGAAGUAGGUCCCAAGGGUAUGGCUGUUCGCCAUUUAAAGUGGUACGCGAGCUGGGUUUAGAACGUCGUGAGACAGUUCGGUCCCUAUCUGCCGUGGGCGCUGGAGAAUUGAGGGGGGCUGCUCCUAGUACGAGAGGACCGGAGUGGACGCAUCACUGGUGUUCGGGUUGUCAUGCCAAUGGCACUGCCCGGUAGCUAAAUGCGGAAGAGAUAAGUGCUGAAAGCAUCUAAGCACGAAACUUGCCCCGAGAUGAGUUCUCCCUGAGACUUUAAGUCUCCUGAAGGAACGUUGAAGACGACGACGUUGAUAGGUCGGGUGUGUAAGCGCAGCGAUGCGUUGAGCUAACCGAUACUAAUGAACCGUGAGGCUUAACCUU